RNAcentral lists this transfer RNA (74 nucleotides) under Ailuropoda melanoleuca (giant panda). It matches the Rfam family "tRNA". From Rfam's summary of the family: Transfer RNA (tRNA) molecules are approximately 80 nucleotides in length. Their secondary structure includes four short double-helical elements and three loops (D, anti-codon, and T loops). Further hydrogen bonds mediate the characteristic L-shaped molecular structure. tRNAs have two regions of fundamental functional importance: the anti-codon, which is responsible for specific mRNA codon recognition, and the 3' end, to which the tRNAs corresponding amino acid is attached (by aminoacyl-tRNA synthetases). tRNAs cope with the degeneracy of the genetic code in two manners: having more than one tRNA (with a specific anti-codon) for a particular amino acid; and 'wobble' base-pairing, i.e. permitting non-standard base-pairing at the 3rd anti-codon position. The record is from Rfam by way of RNAcentral. Lineage: Eukaryota; Metazoa; Chordata; Mammalia; Carnivora; Ursidae.
GCCUGGCUUGUUCAGUCGGUAGAACAUGCGACUCUUGAUCCCUGGGGUCGUGAGUUCGAGCCCCAUGUGUGGCA